CUCUGCCUCAUUUCGGACUUUUGCAUCCAAUGACUGGGCAGACAACAAAAUUGCAGUGAUCUCCAAAGCCAUUUCUUUCAACACUCUAGCAAUAGGAACCUGAUAAAACCCCACUGAAGAUAAACCUAGGGUUUCUCUCUCUCUCUUUAUCUCCUCUCCCGCGCCCUCUCACUGUACUAUUGUCGAACGAAACGAAGCGAAGAUGAAGAGAGAGAUUGGUGACUGUC
This 227-nucleotide unclassified non-coding RNA is filed under the name Hevea brasiliensis (rubber tree). Lineage: Eukaryota; Viridiplantae; Streptophyta; Magnoliopsida; Malpighiales; Euphorbiaceae. The record is from RNAcentral.